GUGAGGAAUUUUCCGCAAUGGGCGAAAGCCUGACGGAGCAAUGCCGCGUGAAGGAUGAAGGCCUAUGGGUUGUAAACUUCUUUUCUCAGAAAAGAAUUAUGACGGUAUCUGAGGAAUAAGCAUCGGCUAACUCUGUGCCAGCAGCCGCGGUAAGACAGAGGAUGCAAGCGUUAUCCGGAAUGAUUGGGCGUAAAGCGUCUGUAGGUUGUUUAAAAAGUAUUCUGUCAAAGAUUAGGGCUUAACCCUAGAUAGGCAGAAUAAACUUUUAAGCUAGAGUUUGGUAGAGGCAGAGGGAAUUCCCGGUGGAGCGGUGAAAUGCGGAGAUAUCGGGAGGAACACCAAAGGCGAAGGCACUCUGCUGGGCCAAUACUAACACUGAGAGACGAAAGCGAGGGGAGCAAAUGGGAUUAGAAACCCCAGUAGUCC
This 426-nucleotide ribosomal RNA is filed under the name uncultured bacterium. RNAcentral's name for it is "partial 16S ribosomal RNA". It matches the Rfam family "Bacterial small subunit ribosomal RNA", at positions 354 to 796 of the family's 1533-position model. The record is from RNAcentral.